CCUACGGGUGGCAGCAGUGAGGAAUAUUGGUCAAUGGACGAGAGUCUGAACCAGCCAAGUAGCGUGAAGGAUGACUGCCCUAUGGGUUGUAAACUUCUUUUAUAUGGGAAUAAAACGUUCCACGUGUGGGAUUUUGUAUGUACCAUAUGAAUAAGGAUCGGCUAACUCCGUGCCAGCAGCCGCGGUAAUACGGAGGAUCCGAGCGUUAUCCGGAUUUAUUGGGUUUAAAGGGAGCGUAGGUGGGUUGUUAAGUCAGUUGUGAAAGUUUGCGGAUCAACCGUAAAAUUGCAGUUGAAACUGGCAGUCUUGAGUACAGUAGAGGUGGGCGGAAUUCGUGGUGUAGCGGUGAAAUGCUUAGAUAUCACGAAGAACUCCGAUUGCGAAGGCAGUUCACUGGACUGCAACUGACACUGAGGCUCGAAAGUGUGGGUAUCAAACAGGAUUAGAUACCCGUGUAGUC
Molecule: ribosomal RNA, 460 nt
Filed under: uncultured bacterium
Lineage: Bacteria
Description: partial 16S ribosomal RNA
Rfam family: Bacterial small subunit ribosomal RNA
Source: RNAcentral